This 131-nucleotide ribosomal RNA is filed under the name Corallococcus sicarius. Its description in RNAcentral is "Corallococcus sp. CA040B partial 23S ribosomal RNA". It matches the Rfam family "Bacterial large subunit ribosomal RNA", at positions 1025 to 1149 of the family's 2925-position model. The record is from RNAcentral. Lineage: Bacteria; Pseudomonadati; Myxococcota; Myxococcia; Myxococcales; Myxococcaceae.
ACCCAGACCGACAGCUAAGGCCCCCAAAUCUAGUCUAAGUGAACACUAGAAAGGAUGUGGCAGGUCAUUGACAACCAGGAGGUUGGCUUAGAAGCAGCCAUCCUUUAAAGAAAGCGUAAUAGCUCACCGGU